CGGCGUCCGAGCUGGAUAGCUAUAAACUGUAAAAAUACUCCUAACUCCCAAGACGGACGGAGAGUUGUCCCGUCGUUUAUGUAUCAGAACUCUGAGAAGCUGCCAGAGAAUAUCAGUUCAAGUGGAUUCACAUGGGAGAGGAUUUCUGGAUCAAUGCUGGGCACAGGUCUGAAGGCUGAAACCCUCAAGGAUGUGUCAUCUCCUGGAAGAGAAGAAGACGUAUCUGAUCCAGACUUUUACAGACAGUUUAACUCGAGACUUUCA
Molecule: long non-coding RNA, 264 nt
Organism: Larimichthys crocea (large yellow croaker)
Lineage: Eukaryota; Metazoa; Chordata; Actinopteri; Sciaenidae
Exons: 3
Source: RefSeq, a predicted model, not a curated record